Molecule: ribosomal RNA, 498 nt
Filed under: uncultured bacterium
Lineage: Bacteria
Description: bacterial SSU rRNA
Rfam family: Bacterial small subunit ribosomal RNA
Source: RNAcentral
AACUAACGCUGGCGGCGUGCCUAACACAUGCAAGUCGUACGAGAAAGUUGGCUUCGGCCGAUGAGUACAGUGGCGCACGGGUGAGUAACGCGUGGAUAAUCUGCCCUUAAGUGUGGAAUAACGUACCGAAAGGUGCGCUAAUACCGCAUAAUGCCUGGCAACAUAAGUUGUCCGGCCAAAGAAGGCCUCUGCUUGCAAGCUUUCGCUAAAGGAUGAGUCCGCGUACCAUUAGCUAGUUGGUGGGGUAACGGCCUACCAAGGCGACGAUGGUUAGCUGGUCUGAGAGGAUGAUCAGCCACACUGGAACUGAGACACGGUCCAGACUCCUACGGGAGGCAGCAGUGAGGAAUAUUGGGCAAUGGGCGCAAGCCUGACCCAGCAACGCCGCGUGAAGGAAGAAGGCUUCGGGUUGUAAACUUCUUUUGUCAGGGAAGAGUAGAAGACUGUACCUGGCGAAUAAGCCACGGCUAACUACGUGCCAGCAGCCGCGGUAAAACG